This 206-nucleotide ribosomal RNA is filed under the name uncultured bacterium. RNAcentral describes it as "partial 16S ribosomal RNA". It matches the Rfam family "Bacterial small subunit ribosomal RNA", at positions 568 to 774 of the family's 1533-position model. The record is from RNAcentral.
CGCGUAGGCGGGGACCAAGUCCGGGUGAAAUCUUUCGGCUCAAACCGGAAAACUGCCUUGGAUACUGGUCUUCUUGAGGGAGGUAGGGGCAGGUGGAACUUCCGGUGGAGCGGUGAAAUGCGUUGAUAUCGGAAGGAACGCCGGUGGCGAAAGCGACCUGCUGGAUCUCUUCUGACGCUGAGGCGCGAAAGCUAGGGGAGCGAACG